AACGAACGCUGGCGGCAGGCUUAACACAUGCAAGUCGAACGCCCCGCAAGGGGAGUGGCAGACGGGUGAGUAACGCGUGGGAACGUACCUUUCGCUUCGGAAUAUUCCCGGGAAACUGGGAGCAAUGCCGAAUACGCCGUAUUGGGAAAGAUUUAUCGGCGAAAGAUCGGCCCGCGUUAGAUUAGGUAGUUGGCGGUGUAAUGGACCACCAAGCCUACGAUCUAUAGCUGGUCUGAGAGGAUGAUCAGCCACACUGGGACUGAGACACGGCCCAGACUCCUACGGGAGGCAGCAGUGGGGAAUCUUGGACAAUGGGCGCAAGCCUGAUCCAGCCAUGCCGCGUGAGUGAAGAAGGCCUUAGGGUUGUAAAACUCUUUCGCCGGUGAAGAUAAUGACGGUAACCGGAGAAGAAGCCCCGGCUAACUUCGUGCCAGCCGCCGCCGUAA
RNAcentral lists this ribosomal RNA (446 nucleotides) under uncultured bacterium. RNAcentral describes it as "partial 16S ribosomal RNA". It matches the Rfam family "Bacterial small subunit ribosomal RNA", at positions 29 to 523 of the family's 1533-position model. The record is from RNAcentral.